Molecule: ribosomal RNA, 523 nt
Filed under: uncultured bacterium
Lineage: Bacteria
Description: bacterial SSU rRNA
Rfam family: Bacterial small subunit ribosomal RNA
Source: RNAcentral
UGGGGAAUAUUGGACAAUGGACCAAGAGUCUGAUCCAGCAAUUCUGUGUGCACGAUGACGUUUUUCGGAAUGUAAAGUGCUUUCAGUUGGGAAGAAAAAAAUGACGGUACCAACAGAAGAAGUGACGGCUAAAUACGUGCCAGCAGCCGCGGUAAUACGUAUGUCACGAGCGUUAUCCGGAUUUAUUGGGCGUAAAGCGCGUCUAGGUGGUUAUGUAAGUCUGAUGUGAAAAUGCAGGGCUCAACUCUGUAUUGCGUUGGAAACUGUGUAACUAGAGUACUGGAGAGGUAAGCGGAACUACAAGUGUAGAGGUGAAAUUCGUAGAUAUUUGUAGGAAUGCCGAUGGGGAAGCCAGCUUACUGGACAGAUACUGACGCUGAAGCGCGAAAGCGUGGGUAGCAAACAGGAUUAGAUACCCUGGUAGUCCACGCCGUACGAUGAUUACUAGGUGUUGGGGGUCGAACCUCAGCGCCCAAGCAAACGCGAUAAGUAAUCCCGCCUGGGGAGUACGUACGCAAGUAUG